Molecule: ribosomal RNA, 480 nt
Filed under: Triticum aestivum (bread wheat)
Lineage: Eukaryota; Viridiplantae; Streptophyta; Magnoliopsida; Poales; Poaceae
Description: partial small subunit ribosomal RNA
Source: RNAcentral
AUGUCGACCUGCAGCUGGAGGAGGCCCCGGACUUCAGCUAGCCAUGCGUGCCACUACGACGCCCAGGACGUCCAACUUCGCAAACUUAGGUCGUUCAACUCUGUUGUGCUCCUCAUGGAUGACCACGCCUGCUACUACAGUAGGGCACACAAAUGGGGCAUGCCUUGCAUUUUGUUGUUUUGUGCCACGCCAAAUUCACUAUUUGUUUUGCUGAAGUUCACUUUUCAUGUAAAGAGAAGGAGACACCGAGAUGCCUGUGAAGAUCAGCGUGUCGACAGGUCAAUUGUGUCGCAUCUCGAGCGGCCAACUGCUCUGGCCGGAUCCAUCGCUAGUGCGUCGCUCAUGUUGGUGAACGUGGUUGUGGAGGAGGCCCUCCGCACCGAGCCCGUCGGCGUUGACACCAACUCGUGUGCAUCUCCCCUACUAACAUCUAUCCACAAAAAUUUAGAGAUGUUCCGUCAAGUUCUAGCGCAACCAUAG